UGAUAUUCAAAAUUUGCUUAAAUCCUGUUAAGGCUCUUGUGAGACUCUCCUUCACCCUACUUACCUAUUGUACUCCGAAAGUCCUGUAGUUAUAACCAAAGUCUCUUGGAGAGAGAUUGGAUAAUUGUGUAAAGAUCUAUACGAGGUUGACACCCGACACCUAAGCUGUUCGCUACACCUAGACAGGCUAGUCUAGGGGGACAAAUAUCUUAUUUGCUUAAAUCCUGUUAAGGCUCUUGUGAGACUCUCCUUCACCCUACUUACCUAUUGUACUCCGAAAGUCCUGUAGUUAUAACCAAAGUCUCUUGGAGAGAGAUUGGAUAAUUGUGUAAAGAUCUAUACGAGGUUGACACCCGACACCUAAGCUGUUCGCUACACCUAGACAGGCUAGUCUAGGGUGACAAAUAUCUCAUUAUGAACCGACACCAGAAGAAUGUAAAGACGGGCGCUUUAGUCACAUUUAGCAUGGUUAUAACAACUCACAUGGAGAAUAACACUAUUAUAUUUGAAUUUACAUGAAAUAUACAAUCUACUAGUUUCAUAUAGUACAAAACUUUGUGUUGUCUAUUUUAUAAACAAAUUUCACCACUCGAGUCAUAGGGUUUAAGAACACAACUUUUUGUGUAACAGAAAAUAUAGGAUUUUCUCGAAACACUCUCU
This 660-nucleotide long non-coding RNA is filed under the name Lactuca sativa (garden lettuce). RNAcentral describes it as "long non-coding RNA (LSAT_LNC001597)". The record is from RNAcentral. Lineage: Eukaryota; Viridiplantae; Streptophyta; Magnoliopsida; Asterales; Asteraceae.